RNAcentral lists this ribosomal RNA (229 nucleotides) under uncultured bacterium. Its description in RNAcentral is "partial 16S ribosomal RNA". It matches the Rfam family "Bacterial small subunit ribosomal RNA", at positions 568 to 796 of the family's 1533-position model. The record is from RNAcentral.
CGCGUAGGCGGCUGGAUAAGUCAGAUGUGAAAGUCCAUGGCUCAACUGUGGAAGUGCAUUUGAAACUGUCAGGCUUGAGUAUCGGAGGGGAGUGUGGAAUUCCCGGUGUAGAGGUGAAAUUCGUAGAGAUCGGGAGGAACACCGGUGGCGAAGGCGACACUCUGGACGAAUACUGACGCUGAGGCGCGAAAGCGUGGGGAGCAAACAGGAUUAGAUACCCUGGUAGUCC